GCCGGGGUAGCUCAAUCGGUAGAGCGUGUGGCUCUUAUGAUAACCGUAAUGGUUGUUUACAGAACACCUCAAGGUCGUGGGUUCGAGCCCCACCUUCGGCU
Molecule: transfer RNA, 101 nt
Organism: Sphaerulina musiva SO2202
Lineage: Eukaryota; Fungi; Ascomycota; Dothideomycetes; Mycosphaerellales; Mycosphaerellaceae
Rfam family: tRNA
About the family: Transfer RNA (tRNA) molecules are approximately 80 nucleotides in length.
Source: Rfam